Cannabis sativa is the source of this 2380-nucleotide RNA transcript. It is a transcript of the gene named anaphase-promoting complex subunit 6, with no coding region annotated. The transcript is spliced from 17 exons. The record is from RefSeq and is a predicted model, not a curated record. NCBI's taxonomy places the organism in Eukaryota, Viridiplantae, Streptophyta, Magnoliopsida, Rosales, Cannabaceae.
AAAAUUCAGACUAGCCCAAAGACUGAAAAACCUCUCUCCCGCUAAAUUCAACAAAAACUCUUUCUCUCUCUAAAACCCUUUUCACUUUCUCUCUCUACAGACUUCUCUCAUCUUCUUCGUUAUCCCUGGUUUUCCAUUAACAGCGAUGAGAGAAGAAGAGAUCGAAAAGCUUCGUGGAGUAGUCAGGGACUGUGUCACCAAGCAUCUCUACUCUUCCGCCAUUUUCUUCUCAGACAAGGUCGCUGCCUUCACCAAUGACCCAGCCGAUAUUUACAUGCAAGCUCAAGCUCUCUUCCUUGGCCGUCGUUACCGUCGCGCUUAUCAUCUCCUUAAUGCCUCUCAGAUCGUUCUCCGUGACCUUCGCUUUCGUUAUCUAGCAGCUAAAUGUCUCGAGGAAUUGAGAGAAUGGGAUCAAUGUUUACUAAUGCUUGGAGAAGCUAAAGUGGAUGAACAUGGGAAUGUCUAUGAUACAAAAGCUUCAAAUGCAUUGUACUUGGAUAAAUACGGGGAAGAUCGCGAAAUUGAUAUAUCUUCUGCAAUAUGCUUUUUGAGAGGCAGGGCAUAUGAAGCUUUGGAAAAUCGUGUCCAAGCUCGACAGUGGUAUAAAGCUGCUAUCAAGGCCGAUCCUUUAUGUUAUGAGGCUCUGGAAUGUCUUAUUGAAAACCACAUGCUUUCUAACGAGGAAGAAACAAGUCUUGUUUCCUCAUUGCACUUCGGUCCUGAAGAUGGAUGGCUGUCAUCAUUCUAUUCCUGUUUAAUAAAAAAGUAUGACAAAGAAUAUGUCGUUGAAGCCAAAUUCAAAGAACUCGAGAAAGAAAGUUGUAGUAGUAAUUCUUCUGAUUCCUCUUUCAAGUGCUCUCUCAAAAACAACACUGAUCUUUUGGCCUGCAAAGCUGAAUACUACCACCAGUGUGGUGAAUAUCAAAAAUGCUUUGAACUAACCUCCAAACUCCUUGAAAAGGACCCUUUCCAUCUGAAGAGUACAUUGGUACAUCUUGCAGCUGCUAUGGAGCUUGGCCAUUCAAAUGAGCUCUAUCUGAUGGCAUGCAAUCUUGUUAAGGAUUAUCCUCAAAAGGCUUUGUCAUGGUUUGCUGUUGGUUGCUAUUACUAUUGCAUCAAGAAGUAUGUCCAGUCGCGCAGUUAUUUCAGUAAGGCUACCAGUCUGGAUGGAACCUUUCCUCCUGCAUGGAUAGGCUAUGGUAAUGCUUUUGCUGCUCUAGAAGAAGGUGAUCAAGCAAUGUCAGCAUAUCGGACUGCUGCUCGUCUCUUUCCAGGGUGCCAUUUGCCAACUCUGUACAUUGGGAUGGAGUAUAUGCGAACCCGCAGUUAUAAACUUGGAGAGCAGUUUUUUAUGCAGGCUAAGAGUAUUUGCCCAUCGGAUCCGCUUGUAUAUAAUGAAUUAGGAGUUGUUGCUUAUCAUAUGAAGGAUUAUACUAAAGCUAUACGGUGGUUUGAACAAACACUGGCUUGCAUUCCUUCUCCUCUAAGUGAAAUGUGGGAACCGACUAUCGUUAAUCUUGCCCAUGCAUUCAGAAAAUUAAAGCUAUACGAUGAAGCAAUUUCAUACUACGAAAAAGCACUUGCAUUAUCAUCAAAAAGUUUGAGCACUUAUGCAGGUCUUGCAUAUACCUAUCAUCUGCAGGAUAACUAUACUGCCGCAAUUACAUACUAUCACAAAGCGUUGUGGUUGAAAUCUGAUGAUCAGUUCUGCACCGAAAUGUUGAGUAUAGCUCUAGUAGAUGAGUGUCGGAGUAGCGUAGACGCUGCUUAAGUUGAGUUCUGGUGAAACGAGGCUUACUUCUUAUGGUGUGCUGCUGGUAUUAAUUCUGCUUAACUUUGUCCCAUUUCAAAGCAAAGUAGAAAGACACUUGUUGAGUAGAAACUAUAACACCAAGUUUAAUGGGAUUAAUUUGGCACUGAAACUCAUAUUCUGUCUGUUACUUUUGCAAUCUUUUGCUGCACUGAGUUGAGUUGAAGCUGUAGUUGAAUGGUAAACAGACAAAAGUUUGUAUAUUUUAUCUCACAUAUCUUUUUAAGCAGAUACAUGUUGAUAUAUAAUGGUUCAUUUUGGACAAACUGCUUCUUUUGUAAUAGUGUUUGUGUAUUGGACUUAUAAAUACUCAAAAAUUAGGUUUACCAAGUUUAAAACCAAAAUCAAGUUUGUAAUAGUGUACGGGUAGGGAUGCAUAUUUAUCCUAUGGGGAUGGGGCCCCGUUUAGACUCGCCCCUAAUGGGGUAGGGAUUCUCGGGGGACAAGACGGGGAUGGUGAUUAUUUUUUGUCUUUGAAUGUUAAACGAGGUAGGAAUUUGGACAGGGAUGGAGAUGAGGACCCGUCUAAUGUUUUAGUUAUAUUUUUAAUAAUAUUUUAUAAUUUAUGUC